AGAGUUUGAUCAUGGCUCAGGAUGAACGCUGGCGGCGUGCUUAACACAUGCAAGUCGAACGAAGAAACCAAGGAGUGCUUGCACACUGUGGAUUCUUAGUGGCGGACGGGUGAGUAACGCGUGGGGAACCUGCCUUAUAAAGGGGGAUAACAGGGAGAAAUGCCUGCUAAUACCGCAUAAGCUUAGGAGAGCGCAUGCUCUGAUAAGGAAAGGCGAAAGCCGAUAUAAGAUGGCCCCGCGUCUGAUUAGCUAGUUGGAGAGGUAACGGCUCACCAAGGCGACGAUCAGUAGCCGGCUUGAGAGAGUGGACGGCCACAUUGGGACUGAGACACGGCCCAAACUCCUACGGGAGGCAGCAGUGGGGAAUAUUGCACAAUGGGGGAAACCCUGAUGCAGCAACGCCGCGUGAAGGAAGAAGUAUUUCGGUAUGUAAACUUCUAUCAGCAAGGAAGAAAGAAGA
Molecule: ribosomal RNA, 460 nt
Filed under: uncultured bacterium
Lineage: Bacteria
Description: bacterial SSU rRNA
Rfam family: Bacterial small subunit ribosomal RNA
Source: RNAcentral